UACGUAGGGUGCGAGCGUUGUCCGGAAUUACUGGGCGUAAAGAGCUCGUAGGUGGUUUGUCGCGUUGUUCGUGAAAACCUGAGGCUUAACCUUGGGCGUGCGGGCGAUACGGGCAGACUGGAGUACUGCAGGGGAGACUGGAAUUCCUGGUGUAGCGGUGGAAUGCGCAGAUAUCGAGAGGAACACCUGCGGCGAAGGCGGGUUGCUGGGCUGACACUGACGCUGAGGCGCGAAAGCUAGGGGAGCGAACGGG
This 253-nucleotide ribosomal RNA is filed under the name uncultured bacterium. Its description in RNAcentral is "partial 16S ribosomal RNA". It matches the Rfam family "Bacterial small subunit ribosomal RNA", at positions 524 to 776 of the family's 1533-position model. The record is from RNAcentral.